AGAGAGAGACAUGCGCGCAUAUCAAUAAGCGGAGGAAAAGAAACUAACAAGGAUUCCCUUAGUAACGGCGAGUGAAGCGGGAAGAGCUCAAAUUUGAAAUCUUCAAGGUUUUACCUUGACGAAUUGUAGUUUAAAGAAGUGUUUUCUGCAUGAAGUUUUGGUAAAAGUUCUUUGGAAUAGGACAUCAUAGAGGGUGAGAAUCCCGUAUUUGACCAUUAUUUUCAGCUUUGUGAUACACUUUCAAAGAGUCGGAUUGUUUGGGAAUGCAGUCCAAAAUGGGUGGUAAAUUUCAUCUAAAGCUAAAUAUUGGCGAGAGACCGAUAGCGAACAUGUACCGUGAGGGAAAGAUGAAAAGAACUUUGAAAAGAGAGUUAAACAGUACGUGAAAUUGUCAAAAGGGAAGCGUUUGACACCAGUGUUGUUUUCUCGAAAAUCAAUUAAAAAUGGCAGCGAUUUUGUAUUGCUUGUAUGACCUUAUAAGCUUCACUGUACAUUUUUCUUGUCUUUUUUAAUGCACUUUUCGUUUAACAAGUCAACAUCAGUUUCUUUUGUUGUAAAAGGGUCAUUGGAAGGUGGCUUUCUUUUCGGAGAAAGUGUUUAUAGCCUUUGGCCUCUGCAAUCGGAGAGACUGAGGUCUGCAGCGUAGACUCUUCGGGGUUAGAUACAUUUGUGCUAAGUUAUAGCUUUUUAUAGACAACUUGUUGACUAUAAUUAGUCUUGUAGCUUACUCGCUUAUGCUAUUUUACCUACGCUUAGGAUGUUGAAGUCAUCGUAUCGCGC
Molecule: ribosomal RNA, 780 nt
Filed under: uncultured Neocallimastigales
Lineage: Eukaryota; Fungi; Neocallimastigomycota; Neocallimastigomycetes; Neocallimastigales
Description: partial large subunit ribosomal RNA
Rfam family: Eukaryotic large subunit ribosomal RNA
Source: RNAcentral